RNAcentral lists this ribosomal RNA (490 nucleotides) under uncultured bacterium. RNAcentral's name for it is "bacterial SSU rRNA". It matches the Rfam family "Bacterial small subunit ribosomal RNA", at positions 28 to 511 of the family's 1533-position model. The record is from RNAcentral.
GAUGAACGCUAGCGGCAGGCUUAACACAUGCAAGUCGUGGGGCAGCGCGAGGUAGCAAUACUUUGGCGGCGACCGGCAAACGGGUGCAGAACACGUACGCAACCUUCCUCAGAGCGGGGAAUAGCCUCUCGAAAGAGAGAUUAAUACCCCAUAGUAUCUCGGAUUCACAUGGAUCUGAGAUUAAAGCUCCGGCACUUUGAGAUGGGCGUGCGGCUGAUUAGGUAGUUGGUAGGGUAACGGCCUACCAAGCCAACGAUCAGUAGCUGAUGUGAGAGCAUGAUCAGCCACACGGGCACUGAGACACGGGCCCGACUCCUACGGGAGGCAGCAGUGAGGAAUAUUGGUCAAUGGAGGCAACUCUGAACCAGCCAUGCCGCGUGAAGGAUGAAGGUCCUCUGGAUUGUAAACUUCUUUUAUAGAAGAAGAAACCCCAUUUUUCUAAGUGGGUUGACGGUACUCUAUGAAUAAGCACCGGCUAACUCCGUGCCAG